This 65-nucleotide transfer RNA is filed under the name Henschiella sp. PJ-2015. Its description in RNAcentral is "tRNA-Pro". Lineage: Eukaryota; Metazoa; Arthropoda; Insecta; Hemiptera; Enicocephalidae. The record is from RNAcentral.
CAAUAAUUAGUUUAAAAAAAAUUUUAAUUUUGGGAAUUAAAAAUAUAUAUAUUAUAUAUUAUUGA